CCGAACGGCAGAAGUGGUGAUGGGCGCGUAUUUUCCGCCGGGCUCUUGGCCGGCGUACUUGUGCGCGUCCGUAGGUCAGCGUGGGUUGGGGCGUGGGAGUCGUUCAUGGGAAGGUCUUCGGGCCAAUCUCGUGUUCAGGCCGCGCCUGAGACCUUCGGUGACGAAAUUCUUCCGUUCACCCCGUCUUGAAACACGGACCAAGGAGUCUAAAAUACGAGCGAGUGCGCCGGUGGCAACCCGGGGCGCGUAAUGAAAGUGAGACCGACGGUGGGAGGGCUUUACGUCCGCACCAUCAACCGACCACGAUCCUUCGGGUGAAAGGUUUGAGUGUAGCUUGUAUUUUGGGACCCGAAAGAUGGUGAACUAUGCCUGAAUAGGGCGAAGCCAGGGGAAACUCUGGUGGGGGCUCGUAGCGAUUCUGACGUGCAAAUCGAUCGUCAAAUUUGGGUAUAGGGGCGAAAGACUAAUCGAACCAUCUAGUAGCUGGUUCCCUCCGAAAUUUCCCUCAGGAUAGCAGCAAUCGAAGAGUUUUAUCAGGUAAAGCGAAUGAUUAGAGGCCUCAGGGGUGGAACGUCCUUGACCUAUUCUCAAACUUUAAAUGGGUAAGAGCCAGGGGUUGCUUAAGUGAACCCCUCGGUCGAAUCGCGGUUGCUAGUGGGCCACCCGGGGUAAGCUCGGUUGGCGAUGCGGGAUGAUCCGAACGUCGAGUUAAAGUGCCUCACUGCCCGCUCACCUAGAUCCCACAAAAGGUGUUGGUUCAUUUAGACAGCAGGACGGUGGCCAUGGAAGUCGGAACCCGCUAAGGAGUGUGUAACAACUCACCUGCCGAAUGGAUUAGCCCUGAAAAUGGACGGCGCUGAAGCGAGCGACUUAUACUCGACCAUCACGGCAAGUGCGACGCCGUGAUGAGUAGGGGGGCGUGGGGCUCGUGGCGCAUCCCGCGGCGUGAGCCGGGGUGAAACGGGCUCUAGUGCAGAUCUUGGUGGUAGUAGC
This 993-nucleotide ribosomal RNA is filed under the name Aureococcus anophagefferens. RNAcentral describes it as "partial large subunit ribosomal RNA". It matches the Rfam family "Eukaryotic large subunit ribosomal RNA", at positions 419 to 1464 of the family's 3401-position model. The record is from RNAcentral. Lineage: Eukaryota; Pelagophyceae; Pelagomonadales; Pelagomonadaceae.